CCCAGGCUGGAGUGUGGUGGCAAGAUCAGAGCUCACUGCAGCCUCCAACUUUCUGGCUCAAGUGAUCCUCCCACCUCAGCACCCCAAGCAGCUGGGACCACAGGUGUGGACUAACACACCUGGCUGUUUUUUUUUAUUUUUAGUAGAGAUGAGGUCUUACUAUGUUGCCUAGGCUGAUUUCGAAUUCCUGGGCUUAAGCGAUCCUCCCUCCUUGGCCUCUCAAAGUGCUGGGAUUACAGGCAUGGUGGCGGGCGCCUGUAGUCCCAGCUACUCGGGAGGCUGAGGCAGGAGAAUGGCAUGAACCCGGGAGGCGGAGCUUGCAAUGAGCCGAGAUCGCGCCACUGCCCUCCAGCCUGGGCGACAGAGCAAGUCUCUAAAAUGGACAGGAGGCAUCCCUGUGAUAUUAGGGGUAAUAUCACGGCACAUCAGAAACUAUCCACCAAUUAGUACCCGGAGAAUCUAGUCCUGCAGGGCAAGAGGAUGACAGCAGACGACACCUGGGGUCCAGCUGAGGAGAAAGCCAGGACCCGCCCCCUCGAGACCCUGCCCUUCAAAACACCACUUCCAGACCUUGCCCUCAAGAUGACGAUCACCCUCUGGCCCGGCCUCCAGGCAGCCUCCUCAUUCUUGCCCCGCCCAGAUUC
RNAcentral lists this long non-coding RNA (644 nucleotides) under Homo sapiens (human). RNAcentral's name for it is "novel transcript, sense intronic to ZNF83". The record is from RNAcentral. Lineage: Eukaryota; Metazoa; Chordata; Mammalia; Primates; Hominidae.